RNAcentral lists this ribosomal RNA (390 nucleotides) under uncultured bacterium. RNAcentral describes it as "bacterial SSU rRNA". It matches the Rfam family "Bacterial small subunit ribosomal RNA", at positions 28 to 416 of the family's 1533-position model. The record is from RNAcentral.
GACGAACGCUGGCGGCGUGCUUAAUACAUGCAAGUCAACGAUUUUUAAGAUAGCAAUAUUUUAAAAAUAGUGGCGCACGGGUGAGUAACACGUAGAUAAUCUGCCUUUAGGUCUGACAUAACUCGUCGAAAGACGGGCUAAUAUCAGAUAAAACAAUAACUUGGCAUCAAGUAAUUGUCAAAGCUUCGGCGCCCAAAGAUGAGUCUGCGGACCAUUAGGUAGUUGGUGGAUUAACAGCCCACCAAGCCAACGAUGGAUAGCUGGUCUGAGAGGAUGAUCAGCCACACUGGAACUGAGACACGGUCCAGACUCCUACGGAGGCAGCAGUAAGGAAUAUUGCUCAAUGGGAGAAAAUCCUGAAGCAGCAACGCCGCGUGAAGGAAGAAGGGU